UACGUAGGUGACCAGCGUUGUCCGGAUUUACUGGGCGUAAAGAGCGCGCAGGCGGUCGUUCAAGUCGAGUGUGAAAGCCCCCGGCUCAACUGGGGAGGGUCACUCGAUACUGAUCGACUUGAAGGCAGGAGAGGGAAGCGGAAUUCCAGGUGUAGCGGUGAAAUGCGUAGAUAUCUGGAGGAACACCGGUGGCGAAGGCGGCAUCCUGGACCGGGAUUGACACUGAGGCGCGAAAGCCAGGGGAGCAAACGGG
This 253-nucleotide ribosomal RNA is filed under the name uncultured bacterium. RNAcentral describes it as "partial 16S ribosomal RNA". It matches the Rfam family "Bacterial small subunit ribosomal RNA", at positions 524 to 776 of the family's 1533-position model. The record is from RNAcentral.